UACGAAGGGGGCUAGCGUUGCUCGGAAUCACUGGGCGUAAAGCGCACGUAGGCGGAUCGUUAAGUCAGGGGUGAAAUCCUGGAGCUCAACUCCAGAACUGCCUUUGAUACUGGUAAGCUCGAGUCCGGGAGAGGUGAGUGGAACUGCGAGUGUAGAGGUGAAAUUCGUAGAUAUUCGCAAGAACACCAGUGGCGAAGGCGGCUCACUGGCCCGGUACUGACGCUGAGGUGCGAAAGCGUGGGGAGCAAACAGG
This 253-nucleotide ribosomal RNA is filed under the name uncultured bacterium. RNAcentral's name for it is "partial 16S ribosomal RNA". It matches the Rfam family "Bacterial small subunit ribosomal RNA", at positions 524 to 776 of the family's 1533-position model. The record is from RNAcentral.